This 73-nucleotide transfer RNA is filed under the name Ovis aries (sheep). It matches the Rfam family "tRNA". From Rfam's summary of the family: Transfer RNA (tRNA) molecules are approximately 80 nucleotides in length. Their secondary structure includes four short double-helical elements and three loops (D, anti-codon, and T loops). Further hydrogen bonds mediate the characteristic L-shaped molecular structure. tRNAs have two regions of fundamental functional importance: the anti-codon, which is responsible for specific mRNA codon recognition, and the 3' end, to which the tRNAs corresponding amino acid is attached (by aminoacyl-tRNA synthetases). tRNAs cope with the degeneracy of the genetic code in two manners: having more than one tRNA (with a specific anti-codon) for a particular amino acid; and 'wobble' base-pairing, i.e. permitting non-standard base-pairing at the 3rd anti-codon position. The record is from Rfam by way of RNAcentral. Lineage: Eukaryota; Metazoa; Chordata; Mammalia; Artiodactyla; Bovidae.
UCCCUGGUGGUCCAGUGGCUAAGACUCCAUGCUCCCAAUGCAGGUGGCCUGGGUUCAAUCCCUGGUCAGGGAA